RNAcentral lists this ribosomal RNA (506 nucleotides) under uncultured bacterium. RNAcentral's name for it is "bacterial SSU rRNA". It matches the Rfam family "Bacterial small subunit ribosomal RNA", at positions 28 to 525 of the family's 1533-position model. The record is from RNAcentral.
GACGAACGCUGGCGGCGUGGAUUAGGCAUGCAAGUCGAACGGUAUCAUCCUUUCGGGGGUGAGAGAGUGGCGAACUGGUGAGUAACACGUAGGUUAUCUACCCUCAAGACGGGGACAACCCAGGGAAACUUGGGCUAAUACCGGAUGUGAGCAACUUUUAGUUGUUUGAAAGGUGGCGUAAGCUGUCGCUUGGGGAUGAGCCUGCGUCCUAUUAGUUAGUUGGUGAGGUAACGGCUCACCUAGGCAAUGAUAGGUAGGCGGCCUUAACGGGUGGUCGCCCACACUGGGAUUGAGAUACGGCCCAGACUCCUACGGGAGGCAGCAGUCGAGAAUAGUCUACAAUGGUCGGAAGACUGAUAGUGCGACGCCGCGUGAACGAUGAAUCCCUUCGGGGUGUAAAAGUUCUUUUAUAUGUGAGCAGUGCUUCUUAUAUUAACAGUAUGGGGAAGAGAUAUUAGCAUAUGAAUAAGCAACGGCUAACUCCGUGCCAGCAGCCCGCGGUAAUA